RNAcentral lists this ribosomal RNA (376 nucleotides) under uncultured bacterium. RNAcentral's name for it is "bacterial SSU rRNA". It matches the Rfam family "Bacterial small subunit ribosomal RNA", at positions 524 to 898 of the family's 1533-position model. The record is from RNAcentral.
UACAGAGGGUGCAAACGUUGCUCGGAAUUACUGGGCGUAAAGCGCGUGUAGGCGGACCUGUAAGUUGGACGUGAAAGCCCUGGGCUCAACCCAGGAAUUGCAUUCAAAACUACAGGCCUAGAGUGAUGGAGAGGGUGGCAGAAUUCCUGGUGUAGAGGUGAAAUUCGUAGAUAUCAGGAGGAACACCGGUGGCGAAGGCGGCUACCUGGACAUCAACUGACGCUGAGACGCGAAAGCGUGGGGAGCAAACAGGAUUAGAUACCCUGGUAGUCCACGCCGUAAACGAUGAGUGCUGGGUGUCGUGGGUUUUGACCCCCGCGGUGCCGUAGCUAACGCGUUAAGCACUCCGCCUGGGGAAUACGGCCGCAAGGCUAAA